RNAcentral lists this long non-coding RNA (10552 nucleotides) under Homo sapiens (human). RNAcentral's name for it is "non-protein coding lnc-C11orf95-1:2". Lineage: Eukaryota; Metazoa; Chordata; Mammalia; Primates; Hominidae. The record is from RNAcentral.
GUUAGAAACCCUGGACCCGGGAGGCGGCGGGAAGGGCCGAGGGGACCCGGGGCCACCCGGUGCGCAGAGGCAGAGGGGCCCCCAAAACCCGCAACGCGGGCCCCUCAGUCUGCGGGCCAAGCCCGGGGUUUCCCUCCAUUAAGAAGUCAGUUGGGCGUUUCUGCUGGCGUGGAGAGCGCUACCAGGUGCCCCCGGAUUUUGAUCGGGAGUCGCUUUUGCCUUUCCGUGGACAAGCCUUCCUCCGCCAGCAGAUGCCCCGGGCAGGAAGAGAAGCGGUGGGUGAGUGGAAAGGGCCUUGGUAUGGAAACGCAGAGACCGAAUUCCUUCUCAUCUGCCAGCUCCGUGGCCGUGGGCACAUUAUCUGUUUUCUUAGUCCGGCUCAUCGUUUCUUUCAAAAACCAUUUUGGACCCUUCUGGGAAGGCAAAGAAGAGAAGCAGAGUGGACUGUGAGCGGACAUAAACCACCCUGAUGGGUAUGAUUUCCAUUUUUGGCACGGGAGUCCGGAGAUUUUGUGACCCUCUCCAAGGACACACAGCAAUCCCUUGAGAGCCCCAAGACCAGAGUCCAGUUGCCAUGACAUUGCUGCCCUAUAACCACACUCUGGGCUCAGGUGACAUCUCCAGCAGCAGAUGAGGCCUCUCUGUGGCUCCAGCUCAUGGAUAGGUAGCUGUGGUCCCAACAUCUGUAGGAUGAUCCAUGCCCCUGGGCUCUACUCAGUCCACCUCCUCUUUUUGUCCCUGCAGGUUAGGAGUUGUAGGCAGCUUCUUGCUUUUGCCAGUCUCUGUACUGCCUCUCUCUGUCCCCUGCUGGGCUUUCCAGACCUCCCUGUUAACCCCUGUUAAUCGUGUCACCAAAACCCUGCAUUACAUUCUCUCUGUUUUCAAUACUUAAAGUGGUUCCCUCCUGGCGGGGCGCAGUGGCUCCCAACUGUAAUCCCAGCAGUUUGGGAGGCCAAGGCAGGUGGAUCACUUGAGGUCAGGAGUUCGAGACCAGCCUGGCCAACAUGGUGAAACCCUGUCUCUACCAUAAGAAAAAAGAAAAAAGAAAUUAGCCCGGCAUGGUGGUGUGUGCCUGUAAUCCCAGCUACUUACGAGGUUGAGUCAGGAAGAUUGCUUGAGCCCAGGAGGCGGAGGUUGCAGUGAGCCAAGAUCAUGCCGCUGCACUUGACUCCAGCCUGGGCGACAGAGCUAGAUUGUCUCAAAAAAAAAGUGGUUCCUAUUUUCCUGGUUGAACCUUGAGUGAUACACCCAGUAUUGUACCACCCAAUUAGUAGACAUUAUUUCUUUUAGGUCAUAUUAUUCUCAGCUUAUAGAGCAAGAAGUUGAAGCUUAAAGGGUUAGAUUACUUGCCCAAGGUAAUACAGCAAGAAUCUUAUUUCAUCCAACCUAGAGUGAAUAUUUCCCCCACAUUUUAAUAUCCCUCAAAUGGUGAUGCUUUCUAUAAUCAACAUCAACGUGAAGUUUAGGACUGAAGUUUAGGACUAUCAAGAAAGUGAAAGAUGGCUUUUCUGGCAUUCAGACUGUGCUGUUACCAGCAGAAAGUAAGCUAUGUUUAGAAUGAGACAUAGAUGAAGCCACUUCAUGACCACAAAGUGACUUCGCCUUUUUUUUUUUUUUUUUUUUUGAAAUGGAGUCUCACUCUGUCACCCAACCUGGAGCGCAGUGGUGCAAUCUCGGCUCACUGCAACCUCCGCCUCCCGGGCUCAAGCAAUUCUCUGCCUCAGCCUCCCAAGCAGCUGGGAUUACAGGCGCCUGCCACCACACUUGGCUAAUUUUUGUAUUUUUAGUAGAGUCAGGGUUUCACCAUCUUGUCCAGGCUGGUCUUGAACUCUGACCUUGUGAUCCUCCUGCCUCGGCCUCUCAAAGUGCUGGGAUUACAGGCGCGAGCUACUGCUUCCGGCCUUUUUUUUUUUUUUUAAAACGGAGUUUUGUUCUUGUUGCCCAGGCUGGAAUGCAAUGGCGCAAUCUCAGCUCACUACAACCUCCGCCUCCCAGGUUCAAGAUUCUCCUGCCUCAGCCUGCCGAGUAGCUGGGAUUACAGGCAUGCGCCAUCACACCUGGCUAAUUUUGUAUUUUUAGUAGAGACGGGGUUUCUCCAUGUUGGUCAGGCUGGUCUCGAACUCCGACCUCAGGUGAUCCGCUUGUCUCGGCCUCCCAAAGUGCUGGGAUUAUAGGUGUGAGCCGCUGCUCCUGGCCGACUUUGCCUUUUUUUAAAAAAAGAAUUUUUUUUUUUUUAGAGAUGGGGUUUCACCAUGUUGUCCAGGCUGGACUCAAGCAAUCCACCUGCCUCAGCCUCCCAAAGUGCUGGAAAGUAGGUGUGCGCUACUGUGCCCGGCCUGACUUCACCUUUUUUGGAGCAAUUGCUAUUUCUCUUUAGCAAAAAUUACUGUAGUCCAGGCUGGGCGUGGUGGCUUACACCUGUAAUCUCAGCACUUUGGGAGGCCAAGGCGGGCUGAUCACUUGAACCCGGGAGGCAGAGGUUGUAGUGAGUCGAGAUUGCGCCACCGCAAUCCAGCCUGGGUGACAGAGCGAGACUCCAUCUCCAAAAAAAAAAAAAAAAAAGAUACCCAGUUUCUGAACUGCCCCUGUUUCUUGACAGCAUUCAAUCCUGAACCAGUUCCAUUUCCCUAAUUCUUCCAUAGAACUAUGGGAACGAGGCCAAAUUUAAGGAGUUUCCUGAGGGUGCCUUGAGGGUUUCCCUGGGAUGUAUUCUCCUUCACUGCAGCAAAUUAAACCUAAUUUUGGUUACAAGUGUGUUCCUGGUGGUCCUUGGUCACAGGGCUUUGACAACCCCAACCAAUUUAUUUUGCCUACAUUUUCAUGUAUAUGAAGAGUGAUAUAUCAUGAAAACCUAUGUUAAAAUAUCAACAAAUCUAGGGCCAGGUGCAGUGGCUCACACCUAUAAUCCCAGCACUUUGGGAGGUCAAGGCGGGAGGCCAGGAGUUCGCAACCAGCCUGGCUAACAUGUCCAAACCCAGUUGCUACAAAAAAUACAAAAAUUAGCUGGAUGGCUGGGCGUGGUGGCGCACGCCUGUAAUCCCAGCACUUUGGGAAGUCAAGGCGGUUGGAUCACCUGAGAUUCGGAGUUCGAGACCAGCGUGGCCAACAUGGUGAAACCCUGUCUCUACUAAAAAUGCAAAUAAUUAGUCGGGUGUGAUGGCGGGCACCUGUAAUCCCAGCUACUCAGGAGGCAGAGGCAGGAGAAUCGCCUGAACCCAGGAGGCGCAGGUUGCAGUGAGCUGAGAUUGUGCCAUUGUACUGCAGCCUGGGCAACAAGAGGGAAACUCCAUCUCAAAAAAAAAAAAAAAAAAAAAAUUGCCAGGCACAGUGGCUCAUGUCUCUAAUCCCAGCACUUUGAGAGGCCGAGGCAGGGGAAUCACCUGAGGUCAGCAGUUCGAGACCGUCCUGGCUAACAUGGUGAAACCCCAUCUCUAUUAAAAGUACAAAAAAUCAGUCGGGUCUGGUGGUGGGCCCCUGUAAUCCCAGCUACUCAGGAGGCUGAGGCAGGAGAAUCACUUGAACCCAGGAGGUGGAGCUUGCAGUGAGCUGAGAUUGGGCCAUUGCACUCCAGGCUGAGCAACAAGAGCAAAACUCUGUCUCAAAAAAAAAAAAGGCCGGGCGUGGUGGCUCAUGCUUGUAAUCCCAGCACUUUGGGAGGCCGAGGUGGGUGGAUCAUGAGAUCAGGAGAUCGAGACCAUCCUGGCUAACAUGGUGAAACCCCAUCUCUACUAAAAAUACAAAAAAUUAGCUGGGCGUGGUGUCAGGCGCCUGUAGUCCCAGCUACUUGGGAGGCUGAGGCAGGAGAAUGGCAUGAACCUGGGAGGUGGAGCUUGCAGUGAGCCGAUCUCACGCCACUGCACUCCAGCCUGGGCGACAGAGUGAGACUCCGUCUCAAAAAAAAAAAAAAAAAAAUUAGCUUGGUGUGGUGGAGUGCCCCUGUAAUCCCAGCUACCUUGAUGUCUGAGGCAUGAGAAUCGCUUGAAUCUGGGAGUUGGAGGUUGCAGUGAUCUGUGAUUGUGCUACUGCACUCCUGCCUCGGCACUCCUGCCUCGGUGACAGGGCAAGACUCUGUCUCAAAAAAAAAAAAGAAAAAAAAUCUGCAAGUCUAAAAGAGCUCUUUUUUUUGUUGUUGUUGGGACAGAGUCUCACUCUGUCUCCCAGGCUGGAGUACAGUGGCACGAUCUCGGCUCACUGCAACCUCCAUCUCCCAGGUUUCAGUGACUCUCCCAUCUCAGCCUCCUGAGUACCUGUGAUUACAGGCGUCCGCCAUCACACCCGGCUAAUUUUUUGUAUUUUUAGUAGAGAUGGGGUUUCACCAUGUUGGCCAAGCUAAUCUCGAACUCCUGAUCUCAAGUGAUCCGACUGCCUUGGUCUCCCAAAGUGCUGGGAUUACAGGCAUGAGCCACUGCACCGGCCUAAAAGAGCUCUUUUAAUUUUUUUUUUUUUUUUUUUGAGACAGAGUCUUGCUCUGUUGCCCAGGCUGGAGUGCAGUGGCGCUAUCUUGGCUCACUGCAACUUCCACCUCCCGGGUUCAAGCGAUUCUCCUGUCUCAGCCUCCUGAGUAGCUGGGAUUACAGGCAUGUGCCACCAUGCUCAGCUAAUUUUUGUAUUUUUAGUACAGACGAGGUUUCAUCAUGUUGGCCAGGCUGGUCUUGAACUCCUGACUUCAAGUGAUCUACCCACCUCGGCCUCCCACAGUGAUGGGAUUACAGGCAUGAGCCACCGAGUCUGGCCAAAAGAGCUCUUUUAAUAAACGUAAAAUAAAAUUCCAAGUGAUAAGAGAUCAUUGUCAUAGUUUGGCAGUAUUUUUUUCUUUGGGGAUACAUAAAAUAAUGGUUCAUCUUGCAAACCAUGAUGUCCUAGAUUUAAUGAAAUGUGGCUAGUUGCUAAGGCAGGACCCAACCCUAGCUCUAUCCCCUGUCCUUGCUCUUAAACACUGCAAUGCUUAGAUGAAGAAACCAAAUCAAACAACAUGAAAGUCACAGAAGCGAAUUGGUCGGCCUGCAAAGCCAGGCCUUCUGCCUUGCAUACCUGCUCUGCUGAGCAAACCUUCUCUGCGCUGAGCUCUGAGGGAAGACUCCAGACCAUCUUCAGUGGAGUUAUUAGGAAUUCCAGGAAUUCUCCUCCACCAGCUACACAGCUACAUAGAAAGUGCCAUAUACAGGAAUCAAAUUUUUGUUUGUUUGUUUGUUGUAGAGGCAGAGUCUGGCUCUGUCACCCAGCCUGGAGUACAGUGGCGAAAUCAUAGCUCACCACAGCCUCGAACUCCUGGGCUCAAGCGAUCCUCCCGCCUCAGCCUCCCAAAGUGCUGGGAUUACAAGUGUGAGUCACUGUGCCUGGCCAAGAAUUGGAAUUUAUUUAUUUAAUUUAUUGUUAUUAUUACAUAUAUAUUUUUGAGGUGGAGUCUUGCUCUGUCGCCCAGGCUAGAGUGCAGUGGCACGAUCUCUGCUCACCGCAGCCUCUGCCUCCUGGGUUCAAGCAGUUCUCCUGCCCCAACCUCCUGAGUAGCUAGGAUUACAGGUGCGCGCUACCAUGCCCAGCUAAUUGUUUGUAUUUUUUUUUUUUUUUUUUGAGACAGAGUCUUGCUCUGUAGCCCAGGCUGGAGUGCAGUGACGUGAUCUUGGCUCACAGCAAGCUCCACCUCCCGGGUUCACACCAUUCUCCUGCCUCAGCCUCCCGAGUAGCUGGGACUACAGGCGCCCGCCACCACGCCUAGCUAAUUUUUUUGUAUUUUUAGUAGAGAUGGGGUUUCACCGUGUUAGCCAGGAUGGUCUUGAUCUCCUGACCUUGUGAUCCACCCACCUCAGCCUCCCAAAGUGCUGGGAUUACAGGCGUGAGCCACUGCGCCUGGCUAAUUGUUUGUAUUUUUCGUAGAGAUGAGGUUUCACCAUAUUGGCCAGGCUGGUCUGGAACUCCUGACCUGUUGAUCCACCUGCCUCUGCCUCCCAAACUGCUGGGAUUACAGGUGUGAGCCACCAUGCCCAGCCAUGUUAUUUCUUCAAUUUUUUUUUUUUUUUUUUGAGACGGAGUCUUGCUCUGUCACCCAGGUUAGAGUGCAGUAGUGCAAUCUCGGCUCACUGCAACCUCCAUCUCCCCAGUUCAAGUGAUUCUCCCGCCUCAGCUUCCCAAGUAGCUGGGAUUACAGGUGUCUGCCACUACGCCUGGCUAAUUCUUUUGUAUUUUUAGUAGAGACGGGGUUUCGCCAUGUUGGUCAGACUGGUCUCAAACUCCUGACCUCAGGUGAUCCACCCACGUUGGCCUCCCAAAGUGCUGGGAUUACAGGCAUGAGCCACCGCGCCCGGCCUUUCUAUUUAUUUUUAUGUGUGUCUUUCUGAAAUCUUAUUAUCUGGGUAUUUUUACUUCUACUUGUACCCUCUGCAUCUUAUAGUUUUUAUUUUAUAUUUUCCUAUUUUUUGUAUUUUGUUUCUUUCUGGGAAAGUUACUCAAGUUGGUCUGCCAGUUCACUAAUGAUUUCCUGAGCUGUAUUCAUUCUAUUUAUCUCAUCUACUUGGACUUGUCAGCACUUCUGGUUGUUGAUUUUUUUUUUUUUUGAGACCGAGUCUUGCUCUGUCACCCAGGCUAGAGUAGAGUGGUGCGAUCUCGGCUCACUUCAACGUUCGCCUCCCAGGUUCAAGCGAUUCUCCUGCCUCAGCCUCCCGAGUAGUGGGACUACAGGCGCGCACCACUGUGCCCAGAUAAUUUUCAUAUUUUUAGUGGAGACAGGGUUUCACUAUGUUGUCCUGGUUGGUCUCAAACUCCUGACCUCAAAUGAUCCACCCGCCUCGGCCUCCCAAAGUGCUGGGAUUACAGGUUGAGCCACCGUGCCUAGCCAGCACUUCUGGUUUAAAUGGCUACCAAGGAAUAAUCAGACUGUUGUAUUCAUUUGUUUAUGCCUUCAUUCAUUUAUUCAUCAAAUGUUCAAUGAAGACCCAUCUUCUGCUUUUGCACGGGGAAUUCACUUUCCAUCUAUACAAAGGAGAAUUACCAAUUUAAACCUCUAGAUUAGACCCACAUUUGCAUCAGCCAACUUGAUGUCUCCACUCUGAGGUAUCUCAAAUUUACUGCGUGUAAAAUUGAACCUGAGAUCUUCCCUAAUCAGGACUAUCUUGGUGGCAAGUGCCAGAACCCCAACCGAAACUGGCUUAAGCCAUUAUGGAAAGUUAUUGGCUCAAUUAACCAGUAAGUCCAGGGUCAGGGUGACUUCAGGGUAAAAUGAUAUUGAGAAGACUCGAUGUCUGUCUUUCCAUCUCUUGCUUCUGGUUUUCUCUCUUCUGACUUCACUCUUAGGCCUACCCUCCUCUCACAGGGGUGAGAUAUCUGCCAGCAGCUUCAGGCUUACAUUCCUCAAGCUCAGCAACUCCCGUGGACAGAGAUUUCUCCUGCCCAUUAAUUCCGUCAUCAGCUCCAUGGUCAAGUCUUGCUGACUUGGCUUGGGUUGGGUUAUAUGCCCAGCUAUCAGUCAAACAUUGUAAUUGGGGAAAAUAGUAUUCUGAUGGACCAGAUUUGGGUCAUGGGCACAUAUCUGCAGCUGAUCAUAUGUUCUGCUAGCUUUGCAACCCCAGUAGAAUGAGACAGGCUCUUUCCAGAGAGCUCCAGCAGAUGUCCAAAGGAUGACUCUCCUCAGCCUACCUUAGGACUCAUGGCCUUUUCCAAAUCAAUCUAGUGUCCUAUUAAUAGGCCUGGAUGUGGAGUUGCCAGAUUUAGCACAUAAAAAUACAGGACAUUUGAAUUUCAGAUACACAAUGAAUAAAUUUUUUUGGAUUAGUAUUCCCAAGUAUGCAUCCUGUGUUUUAUCUGGUAACCCUACCUGGGUCAUAUGUCAACUCAGUGUGGGGGAUGAAAUCAGCUAUACCAAAACCACUUAGUUUGAGUGUGAGAAGAGGUAUCAUUCCAGAAGGAAAAAUGAAGCUGGUGUUUCCAGAAAGAAAUGGAGAUGAUAUGCACAAAUGAUAGUGUACCUAUGUAUGCUCAGUUCAUUGUGACCCACCAGCCUUCCCAGCCUCCUGUAUCCUGCCAAUAUAUGUCUGCUUGGUACAGGAAGUAGGUGGAAAUCCCUUGAUUUUUAGGAAUACAGGCUCUCCCCGCAACCCCGGGGGAUGAAUUAUGGUUAAACUACCAAUGAUAAUUGCUUUUCCUGUUGCCAAAUACUGAAUACAAAUAUUCCUAGCUUCCUUUGUAGCCAGAGACAACUAUGCAACCAGUUCUGGCCAAUGAGAGGUAAGGGAAAAUUUCCUGGGGAGUUUCUAGGGAAGAGUUUGAUUCCCAGAUAAAAGACAGAGCCUCUGGAGGAAAGAACUUUUGCCCUUGUCUCUUUCUUCUUCCUUGGAAUGCUGGUAUGAGCACAUAUUUGGAGCUGUGGUAUACAGCUUUUGAUCAUGAGAUAACAAACAAAAGAGUUAAAAGCCAGCUAAAAAUGAUGGAGCUGAAGAGUGGGAAGAAUUUGAACUAAGUCUGGGACCUCCAACCCCUGGACUUCUUACAUAAACAACAAAGAGCUUUAUAUUUUAGCCUCUGUCCUCUGUUACUUGCAGCCAAAUGUAACACAUACACCCUAUCUGUUACUCAAGCUGAUACACCCCUUCCUCCAAGCCCACUUCUCUUCUACUGUCUUUCAGUUCAAUGAGUAGCAAUACUAUCUUUCUUUUCAUGCAAACUCAAAACUUCAUUCUCAUCCUUGGAACCCCCUUUUCUCCCCUAGUCCAUCCCCUAUUCUGUUAAACUUCCUUCCUCCGUAACUCUGAAAUCUGCUCCUUUCUGCAUUUCCUUCUCCACUGUCUAUUCCUGGCAGCCUCUCUUUCUCUGAUAGUCCAAUUCGAUAGCCUUCUAAUCAGUCUUCCUGCCUCUACUCUUUGUCCCCUUGAAAUAUAUUUCCACAGUUAUUCUAUCAAAAUAAAAAUCUGGUAAUCUCUACAUACACACACACAUGCACCCGCGCGCGCGCACACACACACACACACACACACACACACACACACUCUUCAGUUACCUCCCAUUUCUCUUAGUAUAAAGACCAAAGCCUUUUUUUUUUUUUUUUUUUUGAGACAGAGUCUCGCUCUGUCGCCCAGGCUGGAGUGCAGUGGCGCAAUAUCAACUCACUGCAAGCUCCGCCUCCCGGGUUCACGCCAUUCUCCUGCCUCAGCCUCCCCAGCAGCUGGGACUACAGGAGCCCACCACCACACCCAGCUAAUUUUUUUGUAUUUUUAGUAGAGACGGGGUUUCAUCGUGUUAGCCAGGAUGGUCUUGAUCUCCUGACCUUGUAAUCCACCCGCCUCUGCCUCCCAAAGUGCUGGGAUUACACCACGCCCGGCCUCUUGCUUCUAUUCUUCAUGAUAGAUUUGUGCAGUUUCAAGUCAAUCUCAGAGAUCAUUUGGCUGUCUAUGAAAUCCCCAAAAAGAAUGUCAGGAGAGAGAUCUGACUGGUCUUUCAUGGGUCAGAGUGACCACUCUUACUGGGUAGGCAACUAUAGGCUUUUGGGCUGGAAAGUUUGGAGGAAAGGUGACUGCUGUGGGCCCCAUUCUGGGUCGGAAGGGAUUGAUCUUGGGGACAGCCCUUGGAGAGCUGGCCAGAGAGCAGAGGAGAGCCAUUUCCUACAGGGCUGUGAAGGGAUAGAAUGGAAGGGCCAACCCCUAAGAUGUGCCUCACUCCUGUUACUGUGUCUUGCUAUUAAUUGGAAUGGCAAUAUGUUCUCAACAUGAGUGACUAGACUUCUGUUGUUUCUGCUGUUCAGCAUUACUUCUUGUGUUAACUCCAUCCAGUUUUUCUUUAUAGAGAGCACCCUUAGUCCACAUAGUUGGGAGUGCUGACUCCUCCAGGAGCGGGCCUCUGACCCAGGCUUAAGUGAAUGGCAUAUCCCGUGAGUUUAGUUUCAGUAACUCGUUGAAGGACAGGCUCAUGAUCCAAUGUGAUCCAGUGAGAUUUAGACCUGGGACUUUGUUCACAUUGUUGGAGGAGAGAAGAUCUCUUUCUUUUCUGUGAGCCUUCCAGUUGUCAGGCUGUGAGUCUGGAGGUGCUGGGGUCAUCCUGUAGAAAGACCUUUCCAAAAGGACAGCCAACAAACAGGGGAGCAGGGUAGAGAUGGAGAGAGACAGACAGACAGACAUUAAGAUCACCGGGACACUGCUUGAACCUUGCAUCGAGCCACAUCUGAAGAUCAUUUUUUAAUUUUCAGUCCCAUGAACCAAUACACCCUCUCCUGCUUUAAACUUUUAAGCCAGUUUUAUUUUUAUUUUUAUUUUUAAUCAUUUAUUAUCAAAAGUGUGCUGAUUUGGCUGGGUACAGUGGCUCAUGCUGUAAUCCCAGCACUUUGGGAGGCCGAGGCAGGCGGAUCACUUGAGGUCAGGAGUUCAAGACCAGCCUGGCUAACGUGGUGAAACCCCAACUCUACUAAAAAUUCAAAAAAUUAGCCAGGCGUGGUGGCACAUGCCUGUAGUCCCACCUACUCGGGAAGCUGAGGCAGGAGAAUUGCUUGAACCCAGGAGGUAAAGGUUGCAGUGAGCUGAGAUUGUGCCACUGCACUCUAGUAGCCUGGGCGACAGAGUGAGACCCUGUCUCC